This 925-nucleotide long non-coding RNA is filed under the name Felis catus (domestic cat). RNAcentral's name for it is "lncRNA (ENSFCAG00000047614.1)". Lineage: Eukaryota; Metazoa; Chordata; Mammalia; Carnivora; Felidae. The record is from RNAcentral.
ACCAUAUGCUUCUCUGCUGUCCUUAGCUGCUCCCUUUACAGCACAGUCCAUGCUUCUCCACUCUCCCCAGCUGCUCCUUAUCCCCACAGCAUAUGCUCUCCACUGUCCCCAGCUGCUCCAUAUCACCACAGCAUAUGCUUCUCCACUCUCCCCAGCCUGCUCCUUAUCCCCACAGCAUAUGCUUCUCUGCCCUCCCCAGCUGCUCCUUACCCACCACACCAUAUGCUUCUCUGCUGUCCUUAGCUGCUCCCUUUACAGCACAGUCCAUGAUUCUCCACUCUCCCCUGCUGCUCCUUAUCCACCACAGCAUAUGCUUCUCCACUGUCCCCAGCUGCUCCAUAUCCACCACAGCAUAUGCUUCUCCACUCUCCCCAGCUGCUCCUUACCCACCACAGCAUAUGCUUCUCCACUGUCCCCAGCUGCUCCAUAUCCGCCACAGCAUAUGCUUCUCCACUGUCCCCAGCUGCUCCUUACCCACCACAGCAUAUGCUUCUCCACUGUCCCCAGCUGCUCCUUAUCCACCACAGCAUAUGCUUCUCCACUGUCCCCAGCUGCUCCUUAUCCACCACACCAUAUGCUUCUCCACUCUCCCCAGCUGCUCCAUAUCCGCCAGAGCAUAUGCUUCUCCACUCUCCCCAGCUGCUCCUUAUCCGCCACAGCAUAUGCUUCUCCACUGUCCCCAGCUGCUCCUUAUCCACCAAAGCAUAUGCUCUCCACUGUCCCCAGCUGCUCCAUAUCCGCCACAGCAUAUGCUUCUCCACUGUCCCCAGCUGCUUCCUUAUCCGCCACAGCAUAUGCUUCUCCACUGUCCCAAGCUGCUCCUUAUCCGCCACAGCAUAUGCUUCUCCACUUUUUUUUUUUUUGCCCGUUUCUUUAUUUUUUUAUGUAUUUAUUUUAUUUUUUUAAUGUUUCUAUUUAUUUUUGA